GCCUAAUUAGUUUUAUACAAAAUAUGGUUUU
This 31-nucleotide transfer RNA is filed under the name Gyrodactylus albolacustris x Gyrodactylus botnicus. Its description in RNAcentral is "partial tRNA-Thr". RNAcentral also lists the same sequence under 1 other name. The record is from RNAcentral. Lineage: Eukaryota; Metazoa; Platyhelminthes; Monogenea; Gyrodactylidea; Gyrodactylidae.